Molecule: unclassified non-coding RNA, 390 nt
Filed under: uncultured Glomus
Lineage: Eukaryota; Fungi; Glomeromycota; Glomeromycetes; Glomerales; Glomeraceae
Description: SSU rRNA
Rfam family: Eukaryotic small subunit ribosomal RNA
Source: RNAcentral
AGCAGCCGCGGUAAUUCCAGCUCCAAUAGCGUAUAUUAAAGUUGUUGCAGUUAAAAAGCUCGUAGUUGAAUUUCGGGAUCAAUGCGUUGGUCGUGCUUUCGGGUACGCACUGGCGUCAUUGGUUUCUCCUUUCUGACGAGCCGUGAUGUCAUUAGUUUGGUGUUACGGGUAGUUAGGACUGUUACUUUGAAAAAAUUAGAGUGUUUAAAGCAGGCAUUAGCUUGAAUACAUUAGCAUGGAAUAAUGAAAUAGGACGUUCGAUCCUAUUUUGUUGGUUUCUAGGAUCAACGUAAUGAUUAAUAGGGAUAGUUGGGGGCAUUAGUAUUCAAUUGUCAGAGGUGAAAUUCUUGGAUUAUUGAAGACUAACUACUGCGAAAGCAUUUGCCAAGG